ACAUACGACCAUAGGUAUUAGAAAACUCGGCAUCCCGUCCGCUCUGCCCUAGAUAAACUAGUAACCGCUGGAUUAGUACUCAGGUGGGUGACCACUGGGGAAUCCCCGGUGUUGUAUGUA
This 120-nucleotide ribosomal RNA is filed under the name Pestalotiopsis fici W106-1. Lineage: Eukaryota; Fungi; Ascomycota; Sordariomycetes; Amphisphaeriales; Sporocadaceae. The record is from RNAcentral.